GAAGUAAAAGUCGUAACAAGGUUUCCGUAGGUGAACCUGCGGAAGGAUCAUUACCGAACUGUCGACACGAGUUGUUGCUGGUCCUCAAACGGGGGCAUGUGCACGCUCUGUUUACACAUCCACUCACACCUGUGCACGCUCUGUAGUUCUAUGGCCUGGGGGACUCUGUCACCCUUGCUGUGGUCCUACGUCUUUACACACACACCGUAACAAAGUCUCAUGGAAUGUACAUCGCGUUUAACGCAAUACAAUACAACUUUCAGCAACGGAUCUCUUGGCUCUCGCAUCGAUGAAGAACGCAGCGAAAUGCGAUAAGUAAUGUGAAUUGCAGAAUUCAGUGAAUCAUCGAAUCUUUGAACGCACCUUGCGCCCUUUGGCUAUUCCGAAGGGCAUGCCUGUUUGAGUAUCAUGAACACCUCAACUCUCAUGGUUUGCCGUGAUGAGCUUGGACUUUGGGGGUCUUGCUGGCCUAUGGUCAGCUCCUCUCAAAUGGAUCAGCUUGCCAGUGUUUGGUGGCAUCACAGGUGUGAUAACUAUCUACGCUUGUGGUUUUCCACCAGGUAACCUUCAGCAAUGGAGGUUCGCUGGAGCUCACAAAUGUCUCUCCUCAGCGAGGACAGCUUUUUGAACGUUUGAUCUCAAAUCAGGUAGGACUACCCGCUGAACUUAAGCAUA
Molecule: ribosomal RNA, 675 nt
Filed under: uncultured Tomentella
Lineage: Eukaryota; Fungi; Basidiomycota; Agaricomycetes; Thelephorales; Thelephoraceae
Description: eukaryotic LSU rRNA
Rfam family: 5.8S ribosomal RNA (bases 255-409)
Source: RNAcentral